CUGGACUACCGGGGUUUCUAAUCCUGUUUGCUCCCCACGCUUUCGCGCCUCAGCGUCGGAUCCGGCCCAGCAGGCCGCCUUCGCCACCGGUGUUCUUCCCGAUCUCUACGCAUUCCACCGCUACACCGGGAAUUCCACCUGCCCCUACCGGUCCCCAGGCCAGCAGUAUCGGGAGACCUUCCGGGGUUGAGCCCCGGCCUUUCACCCCCGACUCACCAGC
Molecule: unclassified non-coding RNA, 220 nt
Filed under: uncultured fungus
Lineage: Eukaryota; Fungi
Description: sequence contains ITS1
Source: RNAcentral